This 303-nucleotide ribosomal RNA is filed under the name uncultured bacterium. Its description in RNAcentral is "partial 16S ribosomal RNA". It matches the Rfam family "Bacterial small subunit ribosomal RNA", at positions 507 to 807 of the family's 1533-position model. The record is from RNAcentral.
AGCAGUAGCCGCGGUAAUACGGAGGGGGCUAGCGUUGUUCGGAAUUACUGGGCGUAAAGCGCACGUAGGCGGCUUGGUAAGUUAGAGGUGAAAGCCCGGAGCUCAACUCCGGAAUUGCCUUUAAGACUGCCGAGCUAGUAGGUGAGAGAGGUAAGUGGAAUUCCGAGUGUAGAGGUGAAAUUCGUAGAUAUUCGGAAGAACACCAGUGGCGAAGGCGGCUUACUGGCUCAUUCUAGACGCUGAGGUGCGAAAGCGUGGGGAGCAAACAGGAUUAGAGACCCCAGUAGUCCCUGUCUCUUAUAC